UACGGGGGGGGGGCAAGCGUUGUUCGGAAUUACUGGGCGUAAAGGGCUUGUAGGUGGCCAACUAAGUCAGACGUGAAAUCCCUCAGCUUAACUGGGGAACUGCUUCUGAUACUGGAUGGCUUGAGUUUGGGAGAGGGAUGCGGAAUUCCAGGUGUAGCGGUAGAAAUGCGUAGAUAUCUGGAGGAACACCGGUGGCGAAGGCGGCAUCCUGGACCAACACUGACACUGAAAAGCGAAAGCCAGGGGAGCAAACGGG
RNAcentral lists this ribosomal RNA (256 nucleotides) under uncultured bacterium. RNAcentral describes it as "partial 16S ribosomal RNA". It matches the Rfam family "Bacterial small subunit ribosomal RNA", at positions 522 to 776 of the family's 1533-position model. The record is from RNAcentral.